Long non-coding RNA from Zophobas morio, 1214 nucleotides. RefSeq lists it as uncharacterized. The record is from RefSeq and is a predicted model, not a curated record. Lineage: Eukaryota; Metazoa; Arthropoda; Insecta; Coleoptera; Tenebrionidae. The transcript is spliced from 5 exons.
AGCCAUAAGAAAUAAAGUACAGAAUGAUUAUUUUAUCUGUGCACGCCUGAAUACUUUCGUGUAUGCACCACAUUAUGCAUAUCAUAAACAACUUUUUAAAUUAGCAGUUAUAGUUAAUAAAUUUUUACAACACAAAAACCACACUGUGUCAUAAAUGACAACAAAGACUUCAAGUAACUAAUAAUGGCAAAAUUCAAACCAAAUAUGUAGAACGUAAUUUAUUCAAAUACGAAUACAAAGAAAAAUAAAAUAAAUACAUAAAUAGGUAGGUACUCUAUAAUAAGUGCUCAAACUGCCCGCCUAAUCUUUCUUCAGACAGCGCUAUCCAUUGCUGAAAUAUAUAGGGACAUUUUUUAACUCUGAACACCCCACAAAGUCCCUAUGUUCAAUCUGAAAAAAAAACCAUAAUGUAUUAGAAGUAUGCAACCAAUAUUACAUCGCCAACUUAAAUAUAAUUUGGAAGUUUGAAAAAUGUAUACAGCAGAAGAAAAAAUACUAAUAUUAAAUUGGUACUAACGCCAUGCAAGCACUCAACGUGUUCAAAGACAAUUGGCCAGCCUACGGUAAAAGCCUUGAACAGCGUUCCUAAUGAAAUUAGGGUUAAGCUCAUUGCAGAUGCCUCCAAAGGAAAAAGUCAUUAAGAGACAAAUCUGGCGACCUUAGUGGCCAAGCAAUUGUCCCAAAUCUUGCUAUUCACCGACACCGCUAUGUAAAAAUUUCGUGUAAAUAAUGAGUUAUUAUUGCAGUUGAAUGUGGGGGAGCUCCAUCCAUUUGAAACCAAACUUCAUUAAUAUUUAAGUUUUGAAUUUGGGGCACUAUGUGGUUACGAAGCAGUCAUAAAAAGGAAUUGGAAUCCAAAUUUCCUUCAAUAAAAGAUGGACCAUUUAAGAAAAUGCCUAAAUUUUGUGCUGUUGUGGAUUGCGCGAAUCGAAGCACCAGAAAUGCGGACAAAUUUUAUUUUCCUUUCCCAGCAAUUAGCAACAAUAAAGGUAAAUAUAUACAGGAUGGGGAAAAAAGGCGGAAGCUUUGGUUAAAAGCCUUGAAACGAGUGGAUUUAACGAAGCCAAAGUAAAGUAUUCCUAUAUUUGUUCGGAUCAUUUUAUUUUAGGUAAACCUGCAGAUUUGUCGGAUGUGGACCACCCUGAUUAUGUUCCAUCACAAAAUUUAGGAUAUAAAAAUAAAUCCACUCAUAAUACUUGUAAUGUUGAAAGACA